Molecule: small nuclear RNA, 107 nt
Organism: Mustela putorius furo (domestic ferret)
Lineage: Eukaryota; Metazoa; Chordata; Mammalia; Carnivora; Mustelidae
Source: Ensembl
GUGCUCACUUCAGCAGCACACAUACUAAAAUUAGAAUGAUGUAGAGAAGAUAAACAUGGCCCCUACACAAGGAUGAUGUGCAAAUCCAUGAAGUGUUUCAUAUUUGU